Molecule: ribosomal RNA, 644 nt
Filed under: uncultured organism
Description: bacterial SSU rRNA
Rfam family: Bacterial small subunit ribosomal RNA
Source: RNAcentral
CUGGCUCAGAACGAACGCUGGCGGCAGGCCUAACACAUGCAAGUCGAGCGAGGACUUCGGUCCUAGCGGCGGACGGGUGAGUAACGCGUGGGAACGUGCCCUUCACUACGGAAUAGUCCCGGGAAACUGGGUUUAAUACCGUAUACGCCCUUCGGGGGAAAGAAUUUCGGUGAAGGAUCGGCCCGCGUCUGAUUAGGUAGUUGGUGGGGUAACGGCCUACCAAGCCUACGAUCAGUAGCUGGUUUGAGAGGAUGAUCAGCCACACUGGGACUGAGACACGGCCCAGACUCCUACGGGAGGCAGCAGUGGGGAAUCUUAGACAAUGGGGGCAACCCUGAUCUAGCCAUGCCGCGUGAGUGACGAAGGCCCUAGGGUCGUAAAGCUCUUUCACCAGGGAAGAUAAUGACGGUACCUGGAGAAGAAACCCCGGCUAACUCCGUGCCAGCAGCCGCGGUAAUACGGAGGGGGUUAGCGUUGUUCGGAAUUACUGGGCGUAAAGCGCGCGUAGGCGGACUGUUAAGUCAGGGGUGAAAUCCCGGGGCUCAACCCCGGAACUGCCCUUGAUACUGGCAGUCUCGAGUUCGAGAGAGGUGAGUGGAACUCCGAGUGUAGAGGUGAAAUUCGUAGAUAUUCGGAAGAACACC